Molecule: unclassified non-coding RNA, 18 nt
Filed under: Mus musculus (house mouse)
Lineage: Eukaryota; Metazoa; Chordata; Mammalia; Rodentia; Muridae
Description: oocyte_clustered_small_RNA4251
Source: RNAcentral
UACCUCGUGGUGAUAAGA